This is a non-coding RNA of Paramormyrops kingsleyae, 892 nucleotides long. The record is from RefSeq and is a predicted model, not a curated record. NCBI's taxonomy places the organism in Eukaryota, Metazoa, Chordata, Actinopteri, Osteoglossiformes, Mormyridae.
CAGCCAUGGGAGAAGACCUAGCUUCUUCAGCAACUCAGGGGACUGUGGGAAAAGAAGACGAAGACGAGAGGCUCCUCUAUUUAAGUCUGCAAGUGCUGGGAUGUUCUCCACUCUUCUCGCCGCACCUUUCCAGUACGCGGACCUCGCAGCUGUACGCGGACCCGCAGCGGUAAGGGGACCCCGCAGUGAUACGCGGAGCCGCAGCUGUACGCGUAGACGCUGCCGUGACACAGAAGCUCUUGGUGGAUAAUCGACAUUUCACUGAAGAUCAGCUUCAGGACUCGCAGGGUGUGUGUGGCCUGAGGACCAAUCAAGGCAUGUUGGUUAUCAUCUGGAGAUCUUACCAAACGUGCACAGCGGGAAUCAUCUUAACUUUGCUGUAAUUAUUGCAUAUAAGAGGACAGCAGCAUAGGGCUCGGCCCACUGGUGUGUAUCCUGACAUCGAGCCGGAGCACUUUGUAUACGUACCCCCCACCCUCUCAUAAAUCUGCGGCAGUAACACAAGGACUUUAUAUACAAUUUGCGUUUUGUUUUGAUGAUUUUCCCCUUUAUUUUUAAUUAUUAUGAACAUUAGGCAUCAAUUAUGGUAUUUAUCCUUAAUUUGAUUUGAUUGGCGCUUCCCUCUUUGUAGAUAAAGAAUACUACUCGCAAGAUUUAUUAGGUGUACUCUUUGUGUGAUAUCAGUUAUUUUCUAUUCUGUUUAUGGAUGCAACUUAUCUGUAAUAAUACAUUAAAAAAUAGAGAUUCAAAUUUAAUGUAUUUCACUGGGCUAAUUUAGUACUGUUAAUGUAGAUUUCAAUAUUAUUGACUUGAAGAUAAUUGAUUCAUCCUCUUUGCUUUUAUGGGGAGAUUUUCCAUCAUAGAAGGGGUGGGGGGUUGGCGGCACAGAGUC